ACAUUGGUGGCUCAGUGGUAGAAUUCUUGCCUUCCAUGCAGGAGACCUGGGUUCAAUUCCCAGCCAAUGCA
This 71-nucleotide transfer RNA is filed under the name Loxodonta africana (African savanna elephant). It matches the Rfam family "tRNA". From Rfam's summary of the family: Transfer RNA (tRNA) molecules are approximately 80 nucleotides in length. Their secondary structure includes four short double-helical elements and three loops (D, anti-codon, and T loops). The record is from Rfam by way of RNAcentral. Lineage: Eukaryota; Metazoa; Chordata; Mammalia; Proboscidea; Elephantidae.